UUUGGGACUCCAAGUUCUGCUUG
Molecule: small nuclear RNA, 23 nt
Filed under: Arabidopsis thaliana (thale cress)
Lineage: Eukaryota; Viridiplantae; Streptophyta; Magnoliopsida; Brassicales; Brassicaceae
Description: snRNA_04363
Source: RNAcentral